RNAcentral lists this ribosomal RNA (463 nucleotides) under uncultured bacterium. RNAcentral describes it as "partial 16S ribosomal RNA". It matches the Rfam family "Bacterial small subunit ribosomal RNA", at positions 28 to 507 of the family's 1533-position model. The record is from RNAcentral.
GAUGAACGCUGACAGAAUGCUUAACACAUGCAAGUCGAUGGGGAAGUGGUGCUUGCACCAUGGUAACCAUGGCGGACGGGUGAGUAACGCGUAAGGAACUUGCCUGCGGGACUGGGAUAACAGCAGGAAACUGCUGAUAAUACCGGAUAAGGUCAUUAAGCUGCAUAGCUUAGUGAUGAAAGGAGACGCCUGCGGAGAGCCUUGCGUCCUAUUAGCUAGUUGGAGGGGUAACGGCCCACCAAGGCGAAGAUAGGUAGCCGGCCUGAGAGGGUGGACGGCCAAAAGGGGACCGGGAGACGGCCCUUAAUCCUACGGGGAGCAGGAGGGGGGAAUAAUGGACAAAGGGGGCAACCCUGAUCCAGCAAUUCUGUGUGCACGAAGACGGUUUUCGGAUUGUAAAGUGCUUUCAGCAGGGAAGAAGGAAGUGACGGUACCUGCAGAAGAAGCGACGGCUAAAUACGUG